GAUGAACGCUGGCGGCGUGCUUAACACAUGCAAGUCGAACGGAAAGGCCCGAGCUUGCUUGGGUACUCGAGUGGCGAACGGGUGAGUAACACGUGGGUGAUCUGCCCUGCACUUCGGGAUAAGCCUGGGAAACUGGGUCUAAUACCGGAUAGGACGAUGGUUUGGAUGCCAUUGUGGAAAGUUUUUUCGGUGUGGGAUGAGCUCGCGGCCUAUCAGCUUGUUGGUGGGGUAAUGGCCUACCAAGGCGUCGACGGGUAGCCGGCCUGAGAGGGUGUACGGCCACAUUGGGACUGAGAUACGGCCCAGACUCCUACGGGAGGCAGCAGUGGGGAAUAUUGCACAAUGGGCGCAAGCCUGAUGCAGCGACGCCGCGUGGGGGAUGACGGCCUUCGGGUUGUAAACUCCUUUCGCUAGGGACGAAGCGUUUUUGUGACGGUACCUGGAGAAGAAGCACCGGCUAACUACGUG
This 468-nucleotide ribosomal RNA is filed under the name uncultured bacterium. RNAcentral's name for it is "partial 16S ribosomal RNA". It matches the Rfam family "Bacterial small subunit ribosomal RNA", at positions 28 to 507 of the family's 1533-position model. The record is from RNAcentral.